UUAAGCGACUAAGCGUACACGGUGGAUGCCCUGGCAGUCAGAGGCGAUGAAGGACGUGCUAAUCUGCGAAAAGCGUCGGUAAGGUGAUAUGAACCGUUAUAACCGGCGAUGUCCGAAUGGGGAAACCCAGUGCAAUUCGUUGCACUAUCGUUAACUGAAUACAUAGGUUAACGAGGCGAACCGGGGGAACUGAAACAUCUAAGUACCCCGAGGAAAAGAAAUCAACCGAGAUUCCCCCAGUAGCGGCGAGCGAACGGGGAGCAGCCCAGAGUCUGAAUCAGCUUGUGUGUUAGUGGAACGGUCUGGAAAGUCCGACGGUACAGGGUGAUAGUCCCGUACACCAAAAUGCACAGGUUGUGAACUCGAAGAGUAGGGCGGGACACGUGGUAUCCUGUCUGAAUAUGGGGGGACCAUCCUCCAAGGCUAAAUACUCCUGACUGACCGAUAGUGAACCAGUACCGUGAGGGAAAGGCGAAAAGAACCCCGGCGAGGGGAGUGAAAAAGAACCUGAAACCGUGUACGUACAAGCAGUGGGAGCACCUUCGGGUGUGACUGCGUACCUUUUGUAUAAUGGGUCAGCGACUUAUAUUCUGUAGCAAGGUUAACCGUAUAGGGGAGCCGCAGGGAAACCGAGUCUUAACUGGGCGUUAAGUUGCAGGGUAUAGACCCGAAACCCGGUGAUCUAGCCAUGGGCAGGUUGAAGGUUGGGUAACACUAACUGGAGGACCGAACCGACUAAUGUUGAAAAAUUAGCGGAUGACUUGUGGCUGGGGGUGAAAGGCCAAUCAAACCGGGAGAUAGCUGGUUCUCCCCGAAAGCUAUUUAGGUAGCGCCUCGUGAACUCAUCUUCGGGGGUAGAGCACUGUUUCGGCUAGGGGGUCAUCCCGACUUACCAACCCGAUGCAAACUACGAAUACCGAAGAAUGUUAUCACGGGAGACACACGGCGGGUGCUAACGUCCGUCGUGAAGAGGGAAACAACCCAGACCGCCAGCUAAGGUCCCAAAGUCAUGGUUAAGUGGGAAACGAUGUGGGAAGGCACAGACAGCCAGGAUGUUGGCUUAGAAGCAGCCAUCAUUUAAAGAAAGCGUAAUAGCUCACUGGUCGAGUCGGCCUGCGCGGAAGAUGUAACGGGGCUAAACCAUGCACCGAAGCUGCGGCAGCGACACUAUGUGUUGUUGGGUAGGGGAGCGUUCUGUAAGCCUGCGAAGGUGUGCUGUGAGGCAUGCUGGAGGUAUCAGAAGUGCGAAUGCUGACAUAAGUAACGAUAAAGCGGGUGAAAAGCCCGCUCGCCGGAAGACCAAGGGUUCCUGUCCAACGUUAAUCGGGGCAGGGUGAGUCGACCCCUAAGGCGAGGCCGAAAGGCGUAGUCGAUGGGAAACAGGUUAAUAUUCCUGUACUUGGUGUUACUGCGAAGGGGGGACGGAGAAGGCUAUGUUAGCCGGGCGACGGUUGUCCCGGUUUAAGCAUGUAGGCUGGUUGUCCAGGCAAAUCCGGAUAAUCAAGGCUGAGGUGUGAUGACGAGGCACUACGGUGCUGAAGUAACAAAUGCCCUGCUUCCAGGAAAAGCCUCUAAGCAUCAGGUAACAUUAAAUCGUACCCCAAACCGACACAGGUGGUCAGGUAGAGAAUACCAAGGCGCUUGAGAGAACUCGGGUGAAGGAACUAGGCAAAAUGGUGCCGUAACUUCGGGAGAAGGCACGCUGGUGUGUAGGUGAAGUCCCUGCGGAUGGAGCUGAGACCAGUCGAAGAUACCAGCUGGCUGCAACUGUUUAUUAAAAACACAGCACUGUGCAAACACGAAAGUGGACGUAUACGGUGUGACGCCUGCCCGGUGCCGGAAGGUUAAUUGAUGGGGUUAUCCGUAAGGAGAAGCUCUUGAUCGAAGCCCCGGUAAACGGCGGCCGUAACUAUAACGGUCCUAAGGUAGCGAAAUUCCUUGUCGGGUAAGUUCCGACCUGCACGAAUGGCGUAAUGAUGGCCAGGCUGUCUCCACCCGAGACUCAGUGAAAUUGAACUCGCUGUGAAGAUGCAGUGUACCCGCGGCAAGACGGAAAGACCCCGUGAACCUUUACUAUAGCUUGACACUGAACAUUGAGCCUUGAUGUGUAGGAUAGGUGGGAGGCUUUGAAGCGUGGACGCCAGUCUGCGUGGAGCCAACCUUGAAAUACCACCCUUUAAUGUUUGAUGUUCUAACGUUGGCCCCUUACCGGGGUUGCGGACAGUGUCUGGUGGGUAGUUUGACUGGGGCGGUCUCCUCCCAAAGCGUAACGGAGGAGCACGAAGGUUAGCUAAUCCUGGUCGGACAUCAGGAGGUUAGUGCAAUGGCAUAAGCUAGCUUGACUGCGAGCGUGACGGCGCGAGCAGGUGCGAAAGCAGGUCAUAGUGAUCCGGUGGUUCUGAAUGGAAGGGCCAUCGCUCAACGGAUAAAAGGUACUCCGGGGAUAACAGGCUGAUACCGCCCAAGAGUUCAUAUCGACGGCGGUGUUUGGCACCUCGAUGUCGGCUCAUCACAUCCUGGGGCUGAAGUAGGUCCCAAGGGUAUGGCUGUUCGCCAUUUAAAGUGGUACGCGAGCUGGGUUUAGAACGUCGUGAGACAGUUCGGUCCCUAUCUGCCGUGGGCGCUGGAGAAUUGAGGGGGGCUGCUCCUAGUACGAGAGGACCGGAGUGGACGCAUCACUGGUGUUCGGGUUGUCAUGCCAAUGGCACUGCCCGGUAGCUAAAUGCGGAAGAGAUAAGUGCUGAAAGCAUCUAAGCACGAAACUUGCCCCGAGAUGAGUUCUCCCUGAGACUUUAAGUCUCCUGAAGGAACGUUAAAGACGAUGACGUUGAUAGGCCGGGUGUGUAAGCGCAGCGAUGCGUUGAGCUAACCGGUACUAAUGAACCGUGAGGCUUAACCUU
RNAcentral lists this ribosomal RNA (2900 nucleotides) under Klebsiella pneumoniae. RNAcentral describes it as "bacterial LSU rRNA". It matches the Rfam family "Bacterial large subunit ribosomal RNA". The record is from RNAcentral. Lineage: Bacteria; Pseudomonadati; Pseudomonadota; Gammaproteobacteria; Enterobacterales; Enterobacteriaceae.